This 429-nucleotide ribosomal RNA is filed under the name uncultured bacterium. Its description in RNAcentral is "bacterial SSU rRNA". It matches the Rfam family "Bacterial small subunit ribosomal RNA", at positions 355 to 776 of the family's 1533-position model. The record is from RNAcentral.
UGGGGAAUAUUGGACAAUGGGCGCAAGCCUGAUCCAGCAAUGCCGCGUGUGUGAAGAAGGCCUGCGGGUUGUAAAGCACUUUAGUUGGGGAGAAAGAGGUUUAUGUUAAUAGCAUGAACUGAUGAUGUUACCCAAAGAAUAAGCACCGGCUAACUCUGUGCCAGCAGCCGCGGUAAUACAGAGGGUGCGAGCGUUAAUCGGAAUUACUGGGCGUAAAGGGUGCGUAGGUGGUUGAAUAAGUUAGGUGUGAAAUUCCUGGGCUUAACCUGGGGACUGCGCCUGAUACUGUUUAGCUAGAGUACUGUAGAGGAAAGUGGAAUUUCCGGUGUAGCGGUGAAAUGCGUAGAUAUCGGAAGGAACACCAGUGGCGAAAGCGACUUUCUGGACAGAUACUGACACUGAGGCACGAAAGCAUGGGGAGCAAACAGG